RNAcentral lists this ribosomal RNA (487 nucleotides) under uncultured bacterium. Its description in RNAcentral is "bacterial SSU rRNA". It matches the Rfam family "Bacterial small subunit ribosomal RNA", at positions 15 to 518 of the family's 1533-position model. The record is from RNAcentral.
GAUCCUGGCUUAGGACGAACGCUGGCGGCGUGCUUAACACAUGCAAGUCGAACGGAAAGGCCCUUCGGGGUACUCGAGUGGCGAACGGGUGAGUAACACGUGGGUGAUCUGCCCUGCACUUUGGGAUAAGCCUGGGAAACUGGGUCUAAUACCGAAUACACCUCAUUGACUGCAUGGUUGGUGGGGGAAAGCUUUUGCGGUGUGGGAUGGGCCCGCGGCCUAUCAGCUUGUUGGUGAGGUUACGGCUCACCAAGGCGACGACGGGUAGCCGGCCUGAGAGGGUGACCGGCCACACUGGGACUGAGAUACGGCCCAGACUCCUACGGGAGGCAGCAGUGGGGAAUAUUGCACAAUGGGCGCAAGCCUGAUGCAGCGACGCCGCGUGGGGGAUGACGGCCUUCGGGUUGUAAACUCCUUUCAGCACAGACGAAGCGCAAGUGACGGUAUGUGCAGAAGAAGGACCGGCCAACUACGUGCCAGCCGCGGC